Molecule: ribosomal RNA, 515 nt
Filed under: uncultured bacterium
Lineage: Bacteria
Description: partial 16S ribosomal RNA
Rfam family: Bacterial small subunit ribosomal RNA
Source: RNAcentral
GAUGAACGCUGGCGGCGUGCCUAAUACAUGCAAGUCGAGCGAAUGGAUUAAGAGCUUGCUCUUAUGAAGUUAGCGGCGGACGGGUGAGUAACACGUGGGUAACCUGCCCAUAAGACUGGGAUAACUCCGGGAAACCGGGGCUAAUACCGGAUAACAUUUUGAACCGCAUGGUUCGAAAUUGAAAGGCGGCUUCGGCUGUCACUUAUGGAUGGACCCGCGUCGCAUUAGCUAGUUGGUGAGGUAACGGCUCACCAAGGCAACGAUGCGUAGCCGCCCUGAGAGGGUGAUCGGCCACACUGGGACUGAGACACGGCCCAGACUCCUACGGGAGGCAGCAGUAGGGAAUCUUCCGCAAUGGGCGAAAGUCUGACGGAGCAACGCCGCGGGAGUGAUGAAGGCUUUCGGGUCGUAAAACUCUGUUGUUAGGGAAGAACAAGUGCUAGUUGAAUAAGCUGGCACCUUGACGGUACCUAACCAGAAAGCCACGGCUAACUACGUGCCAGCAGCCGCCGUAA